AGCAGCCGCGGUAAUUCCAGCUCCAAUAGCGUAUAUUAAGGUUGUUGCAGUUAAAAAGCUCGUAGUUGAAUUUCGGGGUUAGUAGGUUGGUCGUGCCACCGGUAUGUACUGGCUCUACUGAUCCCUCCUUCUUGUAGAACCGUAAUGCCAUUAACUUGGUGUUGCGGGGAAACAGGACUGUUACUUUGAAAAAAUUAGAGUGUUUAAAGCAGGCUAACGCUUGAAUACAUUAGCAUGGAAUAAUGAAAUAGGACGCUCGAUCCUAUUUUGUUGGUUUCUAGGAUUGACGUAAUGAUUAAUAGGGAUAGUUGGGGGCAUUAGUAUUCAAUUGUCAGAGGUGAAAUUCUUGGAUUUAUUGAAGACUAACUACUGCGAAAGCAUUUGCCAAGGAUGUUUUCAUUAAUCAAGAACGAAAGUUAGGGGAUCGGAAGACGAUCAGAUACCGUCGUAGUCUUAACCAUAAACUAUGCCGACUAGGGAUCGGAUGGAUGUUAAUUUUUAAUGUACUCUAUUCGGCGCC
RNAcentral lists this ribosomal RNA (520 nucleotides) under uncultured Glomus. Its description in RNAcentral is "SSU rRNA". It matches the Rfam family "Eukaryotic small subunit ribosomal RNA", at positions 569 to 1087 of the family's 1831-position model. Lineage: Eukaryota; Fungi; Glomeromycota; Glomeromycetes; Glomerales; Glomeraceae. The record is from RNAcentral.